CAAGUAAGGCCCCCAGCUAGACUACUGGGUUGAUAGGGUGGAAGUGGAAGAGCCGUAAGGCUUGGAGCUGACCACUACUAAUAGGCCGAGGAUUUAACUAC
RNAcentral lists this ribosomal RNA (101 nucleotides) under Candidatus Planktophila sp. RNAcentral describes it as "partial 23S ribosomal RNA". It matches the Rfam family "Bacterial large subunit ribosomal RNA", at positions 2825 to 2925 of the family's 2925-position model. Lineage: Bacteria; Bacillati; Actinomycetota; Actinomycetes; Candidatus Nanopelagicales; Candidatus Nanopelagicaceae. The record is from RNAcentral.